This 499-nucleotide ribosomal RNA is filed under the name uncultured bacterium. Its description in RNAcentral is "partial 16S ribosomal RNA". It matches the Rfam family "Bacterial small subunit ribosomal RNA", at positions 28 to 507 of the family's 1533-position model. The record is from RNAcentral.
GAUGAACGCUGGCAGCGUGCCUAAUACAUGCAAGUCGAGCGAACAGACGAGAGUGCUUGCACUCUCUGACGUUAGCGGCGGACGGGUGAGUAACGCGUGGGUAACCUACCUAUAAGACUGGGAUAACUUCGGGAAACCGGAGCUAAUACCGGAUAAUAUUUAGCUUCGCAUGAAGCAAUAGUGAAAGACGGUUCUGCUGUCACUUAUAGAUGGACCCGCGGUGUAUUAGCUAGUUGGUGAGGUAACGGCUCACCAAGGCAACGAUACAUAGCCGACCUGAGAGGGUGAUCGGCCACACUGGGACUGAGACACGGCCCAGACUCCUACGGGAGGCAGCAGUAGGGAAUCUUCCGCAAUGGACGAAAGUCUGACGGAGCAAUGCCGCGUGAGUGAAGAAGGUUUUCGGAUCGUAAAACUCUGUUGUAAGGGAAGAACAAGUACGUUAGUAACUGAACGUACCUUGACGGUACCUUACCAGAAAGCCACGGCUAACUACGUG